Molecule: non-coding RNA, 46 nt
Filed under: Schistosoma bovis
Lineage: Eukaryota; Metazoa; Platyhelminthes; Trematoda; Strigeidida; Schistosomatidae
Also listed under: 2 other names
Source: RNAcentral
GCAUUACUGAGGAGUCCCACAAAAGGACAAAACGGCCGUCCAGUGC